Ribosomal RNA from Chrysochromulina sp., 118 nucleotides. The record is from Rfam. Lineage: Eukaryota; Haptophyta; Prymnesiales; Chrysochromulinaceae.
UUAGACGUUUUAUAGCGUAAUGGACCCACAUCGAACCAUUUCGAACUCGAUAGUGAAACGUUACAGCGGUGAAAAUACUAAAAGGGGGGCCUUUUGGGAAGAUAACACAAUGUCUAAG